UUGCACCAUCUUAGCAUAUUUGUUUCAUCCAUCCUCAUGUCACCCACUUGAGAAUGUCUUUUUCUGCCAAAUCUCAUUAUCGGUUAAGGCAAAAUCUUUAAACCCCAUGAGUCCCACCCUUAAAUUUGGCUCAUAGCGCUGACCUCUCUAUCAUUUGAGGUACUACGUUGACCUCCCUUAUAUUGAUAUUUUAUAGCCAAAUUAAUUUAAAUGAUAAAUUGUCUAUAUAUCGUAACACUACCCUUGUCAUCUUUAGUUUUGAAGCAAAUAUAAACCUCCUUUUCUCAAUGUGGGACCCAAUAAACAAAUCAAAAUAAAAGAAAAAAAUUAGAGAAGCAAAUAAUGGUACCAAAGAGAGAAAGUAGGCGCCAAGUGCAAGUUGAAUGCAAUUUGCUUACAAAGUGCUUGUUAUAUUUUAGUUAUGAUUGAUUGGAGAAAGGAAUCUUUCCUAUAAAUAGAGGAGACGUCCCUCGCACAGAGAUAGGCAACAGAGAGCAGAAAGAGAGAGAAUCUAUGGAGAGAAUGACAUAACGUCACCCUAACUUAUUCGACUUUUGUAAAAAGAUGUUUACACUAUGCGGGCAUCCUAUGUCCCUCUUAAACGAUUGUGAAUUGUUAUUAUUACAUCAUUUUUGGAUCAAUUCCAAUUUUUAUAAGUGAUAAACAUCCACCAAUUAUUGAUUGCCACAUGUUUAUUAAAUAAUAUAUAUAUAUAUAUCCUUUAAAUUUUUCUCUUUUUGUUCACUAGAUAAAAUAGAUAAUUUUUAAUUAAUGGCAAAUCAUCGGCGAAUGCUGCCAAUGGCAAAACAAAAUUGUCAAAACGUCGAUCAAAUUUCGACGAGAUUUGUGGUGAUUACACCACUGGGGUUUGUUCGUGAUCCUCAGAUGUACCGCCCCAAGGAAUUUCAGUCGAUCCUAUCGACAAAAACUCCGGCGAACUACUGUCUCUGGUUGUCGACGAAGCUACAGUGGGGCUGAUGGAGGGGGACCACUGCCAAAAUAGGCGCAGAAUCACUGCGAGCAAACCCGACCAAGAAAAAAUGAUUCGUUCAGGAAAAUUUCCAUCAGUCAUGUCCAUUAAGGUACGCGACUUUCAAGAUUGAGGAAGAUGCCCCAAGACUGUUUCAAGCAGGUCUGCAUGAAUAUCUUGGCCUGUACAACGCGCAGACUUCCAUACAUCAAGACAAUCAGUGGGGAGUAACUGUUCUUUCUGUUUCAGCCAGUAAAUUAGUAGCUAUACCAUCAGGUCCCGACUGACACCAUUCAAACAAGCAUAGGAGACCUCAAGACCAUGAUGUGAGAGCAAAAAGUGAAUGAAAAUUUAUUGUAUAGGAAAUAUUGAGGACUUUACCAUGAAGACAUCUUAGGAGUGACUUUGAAAAAUCAGUUUCAAACUCAUAACAAGACUUUAUCAAUUCCGACCUCAAUGGGCUUGUCUAGAAAGAACUUUUAUUGAGUGUUUUCCUAUGGAAUUGACAAAGUUGGAUGGUUUUUCAAAA
This is a long non-coding RNA of Capsicum annuum, 1499 nucleotides long. RefSeq lists it as uncharacterized. The transcript has 2 exons. Lineage: Eukaryota; Viridiplantae; Streptophyta; Magnoliopsida; Solanales; Solanaceae. The record is from RefSeq and is a predicted model, not a curated record.